AAUGGACGAAAGUCUGACCGAGCAACGCCGCGUGAGUGAAGAAGGUUUUCGGAUCGUAAAACUCUGUUGUUAGAGAAGAACAAGGAUGAGAAGAGAAUGUUCAUCCCUUGACGGUAUCUAACCAGAAAGCCACGGCUAACUACGUGCCAGCAGCCGCGGUAAUACGUAGGUGGCAAGCGUUGUCCGGAUUUAUUGGGCGUAAAGCGAGCGCAGGCGGUUUCUUAAGUCUGAUGUGAAAGCCCCCGGCUCAACCGGGGAGGGUCAUUGGAAACUGGGAGACUUGAGUGCAGAAGAGGAGAGUG
Molecule: ribosomal RNA, 302 nt
Filed under: Enterococcus saccharolyticus
Lineage: Bacteria; Bacillati; Bacillota; Bacilli; Lactobacillales; Enterococcaceae
Description: bacterial SSU rRNA
Rfam family: Bacterial small subunit ribosomal RNA
Source: RNAcentral